UUCUACGUGAAUAUGCAGUGUCGAAGAGAAGUCGUUAAGCUCACCGCCUGGGAAGUACGGUCGCAAGACUGAAACUUAAAGGAAUUGGCGGGGGAGCACUACAAGGGGUGCGGCGUGCGGUUUAAUCUAACUCAACGCAGAGAAUCUCACCGGGAGCGACGGCAGGAUGAAAGUCAGGCUGAAGACCUUACUAGACAAGCCGAGAGGUAGUGCAUGGCCGUCGUCAGCUCGUGCCGUAAGGUGUCCUGUUAAGUCAGGCAACGAGCAAGACCUGUACCCAUAAUUGCCAGCAAGUCCUACGGGAUGAUUGGGCACAUUAUGGGAACUGCCCUGGAAACAGGGAGGAAGGUGCAGGCAACGGUAGGUCUGUAUGCUCCGAAUCCCCCGGGCUACACGCGCGCAACAAUGGUAUGGACAACGGGAUGCAACUCCGAAAGGAGAAGCUAAACCUCUAAACCUUAUCCAAGUCCAGAUUGAGGGUUGUAACUCACCCUCAUGACGAUGGAAUCCCUAGUAAUCGGAUGUUAUCAUCGUCCGGUGAAUAUGUCCCUGCUCCUUGCACACACCGCCCGUCAAACCACUCGAGCAGGGUUUAGGUGAGCCUUGCCUUUAUUGGGCAAUGCGAAUCUAAGCUCAGCGAGAUGGGUUAAGUCGUAACAAGGUAGCC
This 667-nucleotide ribosomal RNA is filed under the name uncultured archaeon. RNAcentral's name for it is "bacterial SSU rRNA". It matches the Rfam family "Archaeal small subunit ribosomal RNA", at positions 781 to 1448 of the family's 1478-position model. The record is from RNAcentral.